This 138-nucleotide small nucleolar RNA is filed under the name Drosophila persimilis. RNAcentral's name for it is "snoRNA:GL27840". Lineage: Eukaryota; Metazoa; Arthropoda; Insecta; Diptera; Drosophilidae. The record is from RNAcentral.
GCGCUCAAACAUUAAUCGGUGGCCUGAUCCACACGUCGGCCACAUUUAUGCACGCAGCGCCAGAUAAUAGUAGGCAGCAUUUAAUAAUGUAUUGGUUCCAAAUGACUCAGACUUUUGCAUUUUGAGGUGUUAGCCACA